Molecule: ribosomal RNA, 365 nt
Filed under: uncultured bacterium
Lineage: Bacteria
Description: bacterial SSU rRNA
Rfam family: Bacterial small subunit ribosomal RNA
Source: RNAcentral
GGAGGUGGCGAGCGUUUUCAUUCAUUGGGUGUAAAGGGCAGGUAGGCGUCCUACCAAGUUGGAAGUGAAAUCCUGCGGCUCAACCGCAGAACUGCUUCCAAAACUGGAGGGAUUGAGGCUGAAAGAGGAGAGCGGAAUUCCCGGUGUAAGGGUGAAAUCUGUAGAUAUCGGGAGGAACACCAGUGGCGAAGGCGGCUCUCUGGUUCGGACCUGACGCUGAGCUGCGAAAGCUAGGGGAGCAAACAGGAUUAGAUACCCUGGUAGUCCUAGCCGUAAACGAUGAGCACUAGGUGUUGGGGAGUAUUCUUCAGCGCCGUAAGAUAACUCGUUAAGUGCUCCACCUGGGGACUACGGCCGCAAGGCUA